Molecule: ribosomal RNA, 465 nt
Filed under: uncultured bacterium
Lineage: Bacteria
Description: partial 16S ribosomal RNA
Rfam family: Bacterial small subunit ribosomal RNA
Source: RNAcentral
CCUACGGGGGACAGCAGUGGGGAAUUUUGCGCAAUGCUCGUAAGAGUGACGCAGCGACGCCGCGUGAAUGACGAAGGCCUUCGGGUCGUAAAGUUCUUUCGACAGGGAAGAAAAUGCCUAUAAGUAACUGUGUAUGUAUUGACGGUACCUGUAUAAGCAGCCCCGGCUAACUCCGUGCCAGCAGCCGCGGUAAUACGGAGGGUGCGAGCGUUGUUCGGAGUGACUGGGCGUAAAGAGCACGUAGGCGGUGUUGUAAGUCAUUAGUCAAAGACUAGAGCUCAACUUUAGUAAGGCUAGUGAUACUAUAAUACGAGAGUAUCAGAGAGGAUUGCAGAAUUCCUGGUGUAGCGGUGAAAUGCGUAGAUAUCAGGAGGAAUACCGUUAGCGAAGGCGGCAAUCUGGCUGGAAACUGACGCUGAGGUGCGAAAGCGUGGGUAGCAAACAGGAUUAGAUACCCCUGUAGUC